RNAcentral lists this transfer RNA (64 nucleotides) under Aplysia punctata. Its description in RNAcentral is "tRNA-Val". The record is from RNAcentral. Lineage: Eukaryota; Metazoa; Mollusca; Gastropoda; Aplysiida; Aplysiidae.
GGGUGAAGUAUUUAUAAAGUACGUCUUAUUUACACUAAGAAAGACCAACAUUAUGGCACUCUUU